GAUGAAGAACGCAGCGAAAUGCGAUAAUUAAUGUGAAUUGCAGAAUUCCGUGAAUCAUCGAGUUUUUGAACGCAUAUUGCGCCCCUUGGUAUUCCGAGGGGCAUGCCUGUCCGAGCGUCAUUGCAACCCUUCAAGCACGGCUUGUGUGUUGGACGGCCGCCCCAGUGUGGGCGGGUCCCAAAUGCAGUGGCGGCGCCGCGAUCCGGGUGCUCGAGUGCAUGGAAACCACGCGCUCGUUAGGCCCCGUCGGGCGCCGGCCGACCUAAUUAUCUUCGUUCUGGUUGACCUCGGAUCAGGUAGGAAUACCCGCUGAACUUAAGCAUAUCAAUAGCGGAGGA
This 338-nucleotide unclassified non-coding RNA is filed under the name soil metagenome. RNAcentral's name for it is "partial contains 5.8S ribosomal RNA, internal transcribed spacer 2, and large subunit ribosomal RNA". The stretch from base 1 to 120 matches the Rfam family "5.8S ribosomal RNA", at positions 35 to 154 of the family's 154-position model. The record is from RNAcentral.